This 2297-nucleotide long non-coding RNA is filed under the name Homo sapiens (human). RNAcentral's name for it is "HSALNT0315905". Lineage: Eukaryota; Metazoa; Chordata; Mammalia; Primates; Hominidae. The record is from RNAcentral.
UGUUUCUGUGCUCCCUCUUAGUGCUCUGAAAUCUUGGGCUCCUCUCCCUCUUGAUUGCUGGCUGAAAAUCUUGGCUUGGCACUCCCAAGCUGCACACCACAGCUCUGGGACAAUCUCAAGCUUUAUAUCCCUUCCCAUCUUGGAGGAAUCAGAGGAAGGAAAGUUAGCAGUGGUUGUGACAGAGGGUUUUUCACUUGUCUCUUGGAGCUCCACCUCAGAAAGACGCAGAGCUGCUAUCAAUCAGUAUGAUUGGCCUAGGAUGGGGCAGCUGUGCUGUGAGACCAACCCAUGGCAGACAUCCAGCUGAUCACACUGUGUCCACAUAAGGCAAAUGCUGAGCUGUAAUCCAUCAAGCUGUUUCCAAAUCACCAGAUCUACUCCUUGGAUGAUAAAGCAAUGCAAAUUGCAGAAAUUAGAGGUGAAAUCAAAUGGUUGAAAGGAACCCUGCUUUGAUCACUUUUUGGCUAAAUUGGAGAAUUCAUUAAGUGUUUAGAUCUCAGUUAAUGUGUAGGAAAAAAUGUCUUUCUUUUAGGUUUGCAGAGUAGCUUAGACAUAUAAUGUUUAAAUCUGUGUAUAAUUCUAGCCACAAAAUCUGUGAUCAGAAAAUAUAUUUCCUUUUUCUUCUUUAUUGAUAACAAAAGGAAUGAAGAAAUUAUAGGUCUUUAGAGAUAUCAGUGUCUUUGGAUCAUGUGAUCUGAUGGAAAGAAAGAAAAUCAAUAUUAUCUGAGUGUCAGGGAUAUAGUAAUUGCUUUCACCUAUCUUGUUGUAUUCUCAUGAUAGCUUAUUGGGUGUAACCAACUACAUGUUUGUGUUUCCUCACAAACGUUAAUCCCCAUUAUGAUGAUAUUAGAAAGUGGGACUUUUAAGAGGUAAUUAGGUAAUAAAGGUGGAGCCUUCAUAAGUGAAAUUAGUGCCAUUAUAAGAAGGACCACAGAGAGCUCUCUUAUUCUCUUUCUGCCAUGUGAGGAUGCCAACAGAGAUAGUAGCUUCUAAGAUGGAAGAAGAAUCUUACCAGAAUUGAGCCUGGUCUUGGACUUCCAGCCUCCAGAACUGUGAUAAAUAUUAGGGAUGGACAAGAGACUUAGUUUUCGUCAAUGGGAUUUAAAGGAGAAGAUUUGUGCUAUUAUUAAAAUCAUCUGAGACCAGGCAUAGAGAAAAGGCCAUAUGAGUACACAGCCAGAAGGUGUCUGCCUACAAGACAAAGAGGGAAAACUUACCUGAAACCAACCCUGAUGGAUAUUGGAUUUCUAAGCUCCAGAACUGUGAGAAAAUUAAUUUUAUGUGCUUUAAGACACUCAAUUUGUGGUAUUCUGUUAUGGCAGCCUAUGCUAGUCAAUUUGCAUUACCAUAAAGCAACACCUGAGAGUGGGUAAAUUAUAAAGAAAAGAAGUUGAAUCGGCUCAUGGUUCUGCAGGCAGUACAGAAGCAUAGUGCUGGCAAUUGCCCCUGGCAAGGGGCUCAGGAAGCUUACAAACAUGGCAGAAGGCAAAGGGAAGCCAACAUAUCACACGUAAGCUCAGGAAGCUUACAAACAUGGCAGAAGGCAAAGGGAAGCCAACAUAUCACGUGGCGAGAAAGACAGAGAAGCGGUAGGUCCCAGACUCUUUUAAACAACAAGACCUCAUGUGAACUGAGGGGAAACUCACUUUCACCAAGGAGAUGGUGCUAAACCACUAAUGAGGGAUCUGUCCCAUGAGCCAAUCACCUCCCACCAAGACCUACCUCCAAUUUUGGAAAUUAUAUUUCAACAUGAGAUUUGGAGGGGACAAACAUCCAAACCAUAUCCCAGCCUGAGCAGACUAACAGAGUCUCUGAAUAAAUCUAUGAAAAUGACUAGAGUAUUAUUUUGUUGAGUGAUUUCUUCUUGUAUUAGGAUUGGUCUCCUUGAAAAUAUUUUUCUCAUAUCUGUUAUAAUAAAAUACUGAGAAUCAUACUAAUUCUACUCUAAACUUAGAUAUUUAAGAGGGUUGGAUUUGACUGAUUGCUCUGAUGUUGCUAACAUAGUCAAAGACUUUUCAAAACUAAAGUGUAAUAUUAUGUCAUGCAACCUUGAGAAAAUUACAAUGGACAAAGCAGAACUAUAAUUCACAAUUCAUCUCCCAAACAAAUUGUGACACCCCUUCUUUCCAAUCCACUGAAAUAUGCCUAAAAUGAGAAAAAAGGGAAAUCUUAAAAACAACAACAACAACAACAAAGAAAAAACAGAAAACGGCAACAUUCAGGCAAAAAAGAAUGUGAGGACUAUGAUGCUGGCAUGCUAAACUUAAUUAAUAAUAAAUGAGAGAGUUUGGAAUGAU